AACGAACGCUGGCGGCAGGCCUAACACAUGCAAGUCGAACGCCCGUAGCAAUACGGGAGUGGCAGACGGGUGAGUAACGCGUGGGAACGUGCCCUUCGGUUCGGAAUAACUCAGGGAAACUUGAGCUAAUACCGGAUACGUCCGUAAGGAGAAAGAUUUAUCGCCGAAGGAUCGGCCCGCGUCGGAUUAGCUAGUUGGUGAGGUAACGGCCCACCAAGGCGACGAUCCGUAGCUGGUCUGAGAGGANGAUCAGCCACACUGGGACUGAGACACGGCCCAGACUCCUACGGGAGGCAGCAGUGGGGAAUAUUGGACAAUGGGCGAAAGCCUGAUCCAGCCAUGCCGCGUGAGUGAAGAAGGCCUUAGGGUUGUAAAGCUCUUUCAGCGGGAAGAUAAUGACGGUACCCGCAGAAGAAGCCCCGGCUAACUUCGUGCCAGCAGCCGCGGUAAU
Molecule: ribosomal RNA, 451 nt
Filed under: uncultured bacterium
Lineage: Bacteria
Description: bacterial SSU rRNA
Rfam family: Bacterial small subunit ribosomal RNA
Source: RNAcentral